UAGUUGCAUGCCGUAGACCCGAAACCGGGUGACCUAUCCAUGGCCAGGUUGAAGCGAGGGUAAAACUUCGUGGAGGACCGAACCACGUUGCUGUUGAAAAAGCAUGGGAUGAGCUGUGGAUAGCGGAGAAAUUCCAAUCGAACUCGGAGAUAGCUGGUUCUCCCCGAAAUAGCUUUAGGGCUAGCGUCGGAUAUGUGUAGUGGAGGUAGAGCACUGAAUGGGCUAGGGGGCAUAUCGCUUACCGAACCUUAUCAAACUCCGAAUGCCAUAUACAUUUAGUCCGGCAGUCAGACUACGAAUGAUAAGAUCCGUGGUCAAAAGGGAAACAGCCCAGAUCGUCAGCUAAGGUCCCAAAGUGUAAGUUAAGUGGAAAAGGAUGUGGGAUUUCUAAGACAACUAGGAUGUUGGCUUAGAAGCAGCCACUCAUUUAAAGAGUGCGUAAUAGCUCACUAGUCGAGAGAUCCUGCGCCGAAAAUGUACCGGGGCUAAACUUACCACCGAAGCUACGGGCUUGCGUAAGCAAGCGGUAGGGGAGCGUCGUAAUCGGGCUGAAGUCGUACCGUAAGGAGCGGUGGACUGAUUACGAGUGAGAAUGUUGGCAUUAGUAGCGAGAUGUAGGUGAGAAUCCUACAGGCCGAAUAUCUAAGGUUUCCUCAGGAAGGCUCGUCCGCUGAGGGUUAGUCGGGACCUAAGCCGAGGCCGAAAGGCGUAGGCGAUGGACAAUCGGUUGAUAUUCCGAUACCACUACCAUCGUUAUUAUCGAGGGUGUGACGGAGAAGGAUAGUGUGUGCUAGCGAUUGGAAAUGCUAGUCUAAGCGUUUAGGCAGUUACGGUAGGCAAAUCCGCUGUAACAAUGCUGAGGCGUGAUGGGGAAGGCCAAAUUGGCCGAAGUACAUGAUUCCAUGCUUCCAAGAAAAGCAUCUAGAGAGAGAAGUAGUGCCCGUACCGCAAACCGACACAGGUAGAUGAGGAGAGAAUCCUAAGGCCGGCGGAAGAAUUGCAGUUAAGGAACUAGGCAAAUUGACCCCGUAAGUUCGCGAGAAGGGGUGCCUACGAGAGUAGGCCGCAGAGAAUAGGCCCAAGCAACUGUUUAGCAAAAACACAGGUCUCUGCUAAAGCGCAAGCUGAUGUAUAGGGGCUGACGCCUGCCCGGUGCUGGAAGGUUAAGGGGAACACUUAGCGCAAGCGAAGGUGUGAACUUAAGCCCCAGUAAACGGCGGCCGUAACUAUAACGGUCCUAAGGUAGCGAAAUUCCUUGUCAGGUAAGUUCUGACCCGCACGAAUGGCGUAAUGACUUGGGCACUGUCUCAACUGCAAAUCCGGCGAAGUUGUAGUGCGAGUGAAGAUGCUCGCUACCCGCGAUUGGACGGAAAGACCCCGUAGAGCUUUACUGCAGCUUAGCAUUGAAUCUCGGUAUUGUCUGUACAGGAUAGGUGGGAGACUGGGAAACUAGGGCGUCAGCCUUAGUGGAGUCACCCUUGGGAUACCACCCUGACAGUACUGGGGUUCUAACAGGACGCCAUGAAUCUGGUGACUGGACAUUGUUAGGUGGGCAGUUUGACUGGGGCGGUCGCCUCCUAAAAAGUAACGGAGGCGCCCAAAGGUUCCCUCAGAACGGUCGGAAAUCGUUCGAAGAGUGCAAAGGCAGAAGGGAGCCUGACUGCGAGACCUACAAGUCGAGCAGGGACGAAAGUCGGGCUUAGUGAUCCGGUGGUACCUCGUGGGAGGGCCAUCGCUCAACGGAUAAAAGCUACCUCGGGGAUAACAGGCUGAUCUCCCCCAAGAGUCCACAUCGACGGGGAGGUUUGGCACCUCGAUGUCGGCUCGUCGCAUCCUGGGGCUGUAGUAGGUCCCAAGGGUUGGGCUGUUCGCCCAUUAAAGCGGCACGCGAGCUGGGUUCAGAACGUCGUGAGACAGUUCGGUCCCUAUCCGUCGCGGGCGUAGGAAAUUUGAGAGGAGCUGUCCUUAGUACGAGAGGACCGGGAUGGACUGACCUCUGGUGCACCAGUUGUUCCGCCAGGAGCAUGGCUGGGUAGCUAAGUCGGGAAGGGAUAAACGCUGAAAGCAUCUAAGCGUGAAGCCCACCUCAAGAUGAGAUUUCCCAUAGCAUAAGCUAGUAAGACCCCUUGAAGAACACAAGGUUGAUAGGUCAGAGGUGUAAGUGCGGUAACGUAUUUAGCUGACUGAUACUAAUAGGUCGAGGGCUUGACCAAUAA
RNAcentral lists this ribosomal RNA (2216 nucleotides) under Clostridium saudiense. Its description in RNAcentral is "partial 23S ribosomal RNA". It matches the Rfam family "Bacterial large subunit ribosomal RNA", at positions 697 to 2925 of the family's 2925-position model. The record is from RNAcentral. Lineage: Bacteria; Bacillati; Bacillota; Clostridia; Eubacteriales; Clostridiaceae.